Molecule: unclassified non-coding RNA, 314 nt
Filed under: plant metagenome
Description: partial contains 5.8S ribosomal RNA, internal transcribed spacer 2, and large subunit ribosomal RNA
Rfam family: 5.8S ribosomal RNA (bases 1-105)
Source: RNAcentral
GAAAUGCGAUAAUUAAUGUGAAUUGCAGAAUUCAGUGAAUCAUCGAGUCUUUGAACGCACAUUGCGCCCCCUGGUAUUCCGGGGGGCAUGCCUGUCCGAGCGUCAUUGCUGCCCUCAAGCACGGCUUGUGUGUUGGGCUUCCGUCCCUGGCAACGGGGACGGGCCCAAAAGGCAGUGGCGGCACCAUGUCUGGUCCUCGAGCUUAUGGGGCUUUGUCACCCGCUCCCGUAGGUCCAGCUGGCAGCUAGCCUCGCAACCAAUCUUUUUCACCAGGUUGACCUCGGAUCAGGUAGGGAUACCCGCUGAACUUGAGC